Long non-coding RNA from Aedes aegypti (yellow fever mosquito), 417 nucleotides. RefSeq lists it as uncharacterized. NCBI's taxonomy places the organism in Eukaryota, Metazoa, Arthropoda, Insecta, Diptera, Culicidae. The transcript is spliced from 2 exons. The record is from RefSeq and is a predicted model, not a curated record.
AACGUUCUUACGCCAUACAAGAAAUCCAUUUUUGUGGUGAACAAGGAGACAGCCAGUGGACAAAAGAACUAGGAGCAAUCGAAGGAGGAAGAAGCCUAGCGAGUUGAACUGUUCCAAACGAAAAGUCAUUCUUAAUUUUAACGGAGGAAAGAAGGAGCUAAGCCAUUUUCCUACUUUUUCCGGGAGGACAGAAAAUCUUGGUUCCGAUUUUCCACGGUGAAAAAAGUGUGUGUGUGCGCGAUUGAGGAGUUUCUAGAGGUGGAAACAGAACGGUGGUUAGGAAGAAGAAAUCGAGUGAAGAACAGGCACCAACCUUGAUCAAUCGUCGAGAAAAUUGACUCGGAUAUCCUGCUAUUCACAUAGUAUUCUGCAUUUAGAGCGCCUUUGUAGAUAUUUGAUGCUUAUUUAAAAAAGAGA